GACGAACGCUGGCGGCGUGCUUAACACAUGCAAGUCGAACGGAAAGGCCCUGCUUUUGUGGGGUGCUCGAGUGGCGAACGGGUGAGUAACACGUGAGUAACCUGCCCUUGACUUUGGGAUAACUUCAGGAAACUGGGGCUAAUACCGGAUAGGAGCUCCUGCUGCAUGGUGGGGGUUGGAAAGUUUCGGCGGUUGGGGAUGGACUCGCGGCUUAUCAGCUUGUUGGUGGGGUAGUGGCUUACCAAGGCUUUGACGGGUAGCCGGCCUGAGAGGGUGACCGGCCACAUUGGGACUGAGAUACGGCCCAGACUCCUACGGGAGGCAGCAGUGGGGAAUAUUGCACAAUGGGCGGAAGCCUGAUGCAGCAACGCCGCGUGCGGGAUGACGGCCUUCGGGUUGUAAACCGCUUUCGCCUGUGACGAAGCGUGAGUGACGGUAAUGGGUAAAGAAGCACCGGCUAACUACGUGCCAGCAGCCGCGGUGAUACGUAAGGUGCGAGCGUUGUCCGGAUUUAUUGGGCGUAAAGGGCUCGUAGGUGGUUGAUCGCGUCGGAAGUGUAAUCUUGGGGCUUAACCCUGAGCGUGCUUUCGAUACGGGUUGACUUGAGGAAGGUAGGGGAGAAUGGAAUUCCUGGUGGAGCGGUGGAAUGCGCAGAUAUCAGGAGGAACACCAGUGGCGAAGGCGGUUCUCUGGGCCUUUCCUGACGCUGAGGAGCGAAAGCGUGGGGAGCGAACAGGCUUAGAUACCCUGGUAGUCCACGCUGUAAACGGUGGGUACUAGGUGUGGGGUCCAUUCCACGGGUUCCGUGCCGUAGCUAACGCUUUAAGUACCCCGCCUGGGGAGUACGGCCGCAAGGCUAAAACUCAAAGGAAUUGACGGGGCCCCGCACAAGCGGCGGAGCAUGCGGAUUAAUUCGAUGCAACGCGUAGAACCUUACCUGGGUUUGACAUGGAUCGGGAGUGCUCAGAGAUGGGUGUGCCUCUUUUGGGGUCGGUUCACAGGUGGUGCAUGGCUGUCGUCAGCUCGUGUCGUGAGAUGUUGGGUUAAGUCCCGCAACGAGCGCAACCCUUGUUCACUGUUGCCAGCACGUUAUGGUGGGGACUCAGUGGAGACCGCCAGGGUCAACUCGGAGGAAGGUGGGGAUGACGUCAAGUCAUCAUGCCCCUUAUGUCCAGGGCUUCACGCAUGCUACAAUGGCUGGUACAGAGAGUGGCGAGCCUGUGAGGGUGAGCGAAUCUCGGAAAGCCGGUCUCAGUUCGGAUUGGGGUCUGCAACUCGACCUCAUGAAGUCGGAGUCGCUAGUAAUCGCAGAUCAGCAACGCUGCGGUGAAUACGUUCCCGGG
This 1343-nucleotide ribosomal RNA is filed under the name uncultured bacterium. RNAcentral's name for it is "16S ribosomal RNA". It matches the Rfam family "Bacterial small subunit ribosomal RNA", at positions 28 to 1378 of the family's 1533-position model. The record is from RNAcentral.